GAAAUUUGUCGGCUUAAAGAUGAUCAAAUAUUGUCAGAGUCUCAACCAUAAAUUAUUCUCACUAGGGAUUAAUGGAUCUUUCUCUAAAGAUUCCACCAGCACCUUAUGACAAAUCAGAGCAUUUGGGU
Molecule: non-coding RNA, 128 nt
Organism: Picea glauca (white spruce)
Lineage: Eukaryota; Viridiplantae; Streptophyta; Pinopsida; Pinales; Pinaceae
Source: Rfam